AAGGGAUAUGGAGAAGAUGAACAUGGGACAAAAUCGCACAAAAUACAAAUUAUCAAUUAACAGGGUUUUUAUUCCUGUUCUUCAUCUUGCCAGUCGAUGUAGAGUCUUUAUCAAUGAACGAAUCAUUCAUAUCCUAGAACGUGGUCAAGACCGCCCCAAGCGUCGAAUCACAUUUAGUGACAAAAAUGUUAAAAAGAAAUAAAAAAAAAAUCGUGUGAUAUGCCCCUAUAUUAUUACAUAGAUGACUUAGAUAUCACACGAUUUUAUUUUUUUUUAUUUCUUUUUUAUAUUUUUGUCACUAAAACUCAAGCGACUGUGUCAUAAGUGUGAGUGUACCGCAAAACAUGCUCUCUUUUUCACGCCCUGUGUUAAAAUUUUUUUUUUUAACAAAACAGUCUAGAACAGUAUCAAAUAUAUUAUUCCCGGUGCAUACUAGAAAAGGAGGUUUUGGAAAGCACGUGUGUCAGAAUAUUCGAUCUACAUUGAAUAUAGAGGGGAUGUUCGCCAUACAUAAGGACAAAAACGGUAUAAUAUAAAAACAGGUUAGAAAAGAAUCAAAGGGCAGUCAUGUGUUUGAUGUUUAAAGGAUACAGAAAAAAAUGGAGACUAAAUAAGCUGUAAUUUUGCUGUUUUGCUGUCGUAAAUAAAAAUUAUCAUUUGAACCAAUGAGAAAACAUGUAACAUAACUAACUAUAAGUGUGUCGACCGACCCACAAGUAAUUGAAAUCAAAUUAAACCUUUGUCAAUUGGCCGUUUACCGACUGUGAUAUCUAAAGGCUAUUUGCCAAAACUGUAAAGGAAUCUCUCUCUGUUAAAAC
Molecule: long non-coding RNA, 818 nt
Filed under: Mytilus galloprovincialis (Mediterranean mussel)
Lineage: Eukaryota; Metazoa; Mollusca; Bivalvia; Mytilida; Mytilidae
Source: RNAcentral